RNAcentral lists this transfer RNA (72 nucleotides) under Phrynosoma platyrhinos (Desert horned lizard). Its description in RNAcentral is "tRNA-OTHER". Lineage: Eukaryota; Metazoa; Chordata; Lepidosauria; Squamata; Phrynosomatidae. The record is from RNAcentral.
GUUAGUGUGGCAUACUGAUUUGAGCGUUGGACUACAACUCUGCAGACCAGGGUUCGAUUCCCAGCUCAGCCA